AGCGAACGUUUGCGGCGGGCUUAACACAUGCAAGUCGAACGAGAAUCCCUUCGGGGAGGAAAGUGGCGCACGGGUGCGUAACACGUGGAUAACCAGCCCAUUGGUUUGGGACAACACCGGGAAACUGGUGCUAAUACCAGAUGUGUCGCAGCUGUCUUCAGGCGGUUGCGAGAAAGGCCCGCAAGGGUCGCCAACGGACGGGUCCGCGUCCCAUCAGCUAGUUGGUGAGGUAAUGGCUCACCAAGGCAAAGACGGGUAGCUGGUCUGAGAGGAUGAUCAGCCACACUGGAACUGAGACACGGUCCAGACUCCUACGGGAGGCAGCAGUGGGGAAUAUUGCGCAAUGGGCGAAAGCCUGACGCAGCCACGCCGCGUGAGCGAUGAAGGUCUUCGGAUCGUAAAGCUCUGUGGGGGGAGAAGAAGAAAGCCGGUGAAGAGCCGGCCCUGACGGUAUCCCCUUAGCAAGCACCGGCUAACUCCGUGCCAGCAGCCGCGGU
RNAcentral lists this ribosomal RNA (497 nucleotides) under uncultured bacterium. Its description in RNAcentral is "bacterial SSU rRNA". It matches the Rfam family "Bacterial small subunit ribosomal RNA", at positions 29 to 521 of the family's 1533-position model. The record is from RNAcentral.